This 539-nucleotide ribosomal RNA is filed under the name uncultured bacterium. RNAcentral's name for it is "bacterial SSU rRNA". It matches the Rfam family "Bacterial small subunit ribosomal RNA", at positions 1 to 523 of the family's 1533-position model. The record is from RNAcentral.
UCGAUUAGAGUUUGAUCCUGGCUCAGGACGAACGCUGGCGGCGUGCCUAAUACAUGCAAGUUGAGCGCUGAAGGUUGGUACUUGUACCGACUGGAUGAGCAGCGAACGGGUGAGUAACGCGUGGGGAAUCUGCCUUUGAGCGGGGGACAACAUUUGGAAACGAAUGCUAAUACCGCAUAACAACUUUAAACACAAGUUUUAAGUUUGAAAGAUGCAAUUGCAUCACUCAAAGAUGAUCCCGCGUUGUAUUAGCUAGUUGGUGAGGUAAAGGCUCACCAAGGCGAUGAUACAUAGCCGACCUGAGAGGGUGAUCGGCCACAUUGGGACUGAGACACGGCCCAAACUCCUACGGGAGGCAGCAGUAGGGAAUCUUCGGCAAUGGACGAAAGUCUGACCGAGCAACGCCGCGUGAGUGAAGAAGGUUUUCGGAUCGUAAAACUCUGUAGGUAGAGAAGAACGUUGGUGAGAGUGUAAAGCUCAUCAAGUGACGGUAACUACCCAUAAAGGUACGGUUAACUACGUGCCAGGAGCCGCUUUAA